UACGAAGGUGACAAGCGUUGUUCGGAUUUACUGGGCGUACAGGGAGCGUAGGCGGUUGGGUAAGCCCUCCGUGAAAUCUCCGGGCCCAACCCGGAAAGUGCGGAGGGGACUGCUCGGCUAGAGGAUGGGAGAGGAGCGCGGAAUUCCCGGUGUAGCGGUGAAAUGCGUAGAGAUCGGGAGGAAGGCCGGUGGCGAAGGCGGCGCUCUGGAACAUUUCUGACGAUGAGGCUCGAAAGAGUGGGGAGCAAACAGG
RNAcentral lists this ribosomal RNA (253 nucleotides) under uncultured bacterium. RNAcentral's name for it is "partial 16S ribosomal RNA". It matches the Rfam family "Bacterial small subunit ribosomal RNA", at positions 524 to 776 of the family's 1533-position model. The record is from RNAcentral.